GCCUGGCUGGCUUAGUCGGUAGAGCAUGAAACUCUUGAUCUCCAGGUUGUGAGUUCAAGUCCCACGUUAGGUG
This is a non-coding RNA of Odobenus rosmarus divergens (Pacific walrus), 73 nucleotides long. NCBI's taxonomy places the organism in Eukaryota, Metazoa, Chordata, Mammalia, Carnivora, Odobenidae. The record is from the annotation of a RefSeq genome assembly.